GCAAAUAUUUGUAGCCCUUCCUUCCAGAGAGUGGCUUGGUAGACCUGCGAGUCAGCAUGCUGUGGGCAUCAGUCAGUGUGUUUUACAAAGAGAAUAGUGAACAUCAGAGAUCAAUUUGGCUAGUCUGUCUGGUGGCCAUCAAUUAAGAAGUUUCUCUUAUAUUUGAAGAUAGGCUGAUUUAAAUUUCCUACUUUUAGUUUAUCCCUAUUGUAAAAAAAUAUCCACGAGGCCUAUGUAUUACUUAUGUAAUCAGAACCAAAAAAACUAGCAAUACAAUCAUUAUUUUUAAAAACUGGAAAGCAUCUUUUUCCUCAUCUAAGUUUGUCUUUUUCCCAUGGUCCAACCUCUCCAUUUGUAAAAUGGGUUGUAUUUGUUCCUCUAUGCUUCCCAGUGUGCAAUGAAGAUUGAUUCUUAAUAGAAGUGCAACUGACUGGUCCUAUGAGAGGACUAGGGCAGCUGUGGAAUAGAAGCCCUACAGUGUCCCCUCUGGCCAUCUGAGGGGAGUGGUGGCACUGUGCCUGCUUAUUGUGAGCUGGCUAUGCAGCCUUGUUGUGACUGGUGACCCCUGACCUCAAGGGAGGCUGGUGGCUGCCUAUUCUGCCUGGAUGACUUGAUAUCUCAUCACUUCCAAAGGGAGGUGCCCAAGCUGCAACCCAGAACAACAUUAUCAUGGAGUUCUAGACCUGGUGUGGGGAGCAUGGGGAUAAACCUCAGAAGCCUCCAGAGAGAGAUCAGUGGACUCUGGGAGUGUCGAUCGCAGACUGACCAUCGCUGGGGCCACAUUCAAGCAGCAGCCCUUUGUCCAGAGCCAUUUCCUCCACUGGCCUUAAUUCCUGUAGUGCCCAGAUGGUGAUGAAGUCAGAUGCCAAGGGGAAAGUGACUUUACCCCCUAGAGAGAUUUUUAAAUAUUCCCCAACUGCUCUGGCUCUUUGACAGUGGAUGGCUCUCCAGAAGCAACAGAUUCUCUUCCAGCCGCUUCAGUUGUUUCCUCACAGUCCCCAUCCUCGUUGUCAGGUGAUUCCGCAUUCUCAGGCUGCUCACUGGCCCUGGCAGAGCCCUCUUUCCCUGCUGUGCUGGCAGCAGACCCAUAAGUGUUAAUGAUGUCUUCCAGCUGUUGAUUCAGCUCUUCAGAGAUAUCAGGGGGCACACCUGCCUCUUUCUCCAGUGGUUGGACUGGGGUUGAAGAAUCCUGGCCAUCUUCCUUCUCCAGGCCAUUGUGACUGGGUAAUGAUGAACUGGCCCCUGGAGGUGUUGACUGUUGUUCCGCUGAGAGCUGUUCAGAGUGAUUAGCCUCCAUCUUGGGACUGGUAUCUAGUGGUAAGCACAGUUAGGCUUUACAUAGCUAACCUAGAUGCUACACAUCAAUGCUUCAUUUCAAUGGUAAGGAUAUCCCCCAAGUGAAUGCCAACUAAUUAUGGUCUCUAACAUAGAGUGAAUGUCCUUUCACAAACCAUCGAUGUUACAAUUAUUAAAGUAGGAACACUGAAAAGUUGUUUUUCCAAAUCAAGUCACACCACUGGCAUAUUUUUGGUUUUGCUCUUCACUUUUCAAUAGUAUUCCUUAUUAUUCACAUUAAGAAAGUAAUUCAUGCUAUUGUUUCUUUGUGGCCUUAUUUGUCAUUUUGCUUACACUAGUCAGUUUGUGUUAUCAUUUGCCUGUAUAAUUCUAUGUAGAUUAACAAUCACUGGAGGUACAUGACUGUGUAUAUUUAAAAUGUUUAAAUCUAAAAUGGCAUUAGUUUUCUUUCAAGUUAAAACAUUUAAUAGAAGAGCCAUCGAAUUUAUUUAAAUGACUCAUAACAAUAACAUCUCUAAGCUCUAUUUGAUCCAUAAAUCAGUAUUUUGCUUAGUAUGAAUAUUUUGAUGUAAAUGCAUUAUUACACUGGAUACAGGAGACAUUUCUCUCUUUUCUGGCGUUUUCUUUUUGAGAUGAGCAAUGCGAAUGCUUUCUCUGAGGCUCAAACUGGCAUCAUUUUUCGAUUAAGACAGGGAAUGAGGGAAGGUAUAAAUAAAUAAACCAAGUAGUAUAGAAACA
This is a long non-coding RNA of Piliocolobus tephrosceles (Ugandan red Colobus), 2034 nucleotides long. RefSeq lists it as uncharacterized. The transcript has 4 exons. The record is from RefSeq and is a predicted model, not a curated record. NCBI's taxonomy places the organism in Eukaryota, Metazoa, Chordata, Mammalia, Primates, Cercopithecidae.